Molecule: unclassified non-coding RNA, 449 nt
Filed under: Hevea brasiliensis (rubber tree)
Lineage: Eukaryota; Viridiplantae; Streptophyta; Magnoliopsida; Malpighiales; Euphorbiaceae
Source: RNAcentral
CUUUUAUAUUCACCCACUACUCAGUACUCGCACUAUCUGUUAUUUUCCUCCACAAUUUCUGUCAAUCUUAACAAUCCUGUGGCAGGAUUUCGCCUUUCAACUCGAUAACACGCUCACUUACGUCUGGCCGCUGCAAUCGGAGUUCACCUCUGGCGAUCGCACCCUAUCCAUUGAGCCAGCACUUUCUCUUGUUGUCAGUGGCGACGGAGGCAAGUCCACUAUCGCCAAGGACGCGUUUGAGAGAUACAAGAGGAUUAUCUUCAAGCAUCGCCAGAGUUUUUCUAUUUUUCAGAUGUUAGGUAUAAAGGAUCGGCUUAUGACAUCAGUAAAUUGAAAAUUGUAGUUCACUUUGGUAGUGAGGAGCUUCAGCUUGGGGUGGAUGGGAGUUAUACUUUAUUUGUAGAUAAAAAUAAUGGGCAAUCAAUUAUUGCAGAGGACCAUUGAGGCUU